This 206-nucleotide ribosomal RNA is filed under the name uncultured bacterium. RNAcentral describes it as "partial 16S ribosomal RNA". It matches the Rfam family "Bacterial small subunit ribosomal RNA", at positions 568 to 774 of the family's 1533-position model. The record is from RNAcentral.
CGCGUAGGCGGCUUGGCAAGUGGAAGGUGAAAUCCCUCGGCUUAACCGAGGAACUGCCUUCCAGACUGCUUAGCUUGAGACCAGGAGAGGUGAGUGGAAUUCCCAGUGUAGCGGUGAAAUGCGUAGAUAUUGGGAGGAACACCAGUGGCGAAGGCGGCUCACUGGACUGGUACUGACACUGAGGCGCGAAAGUGGGGGAGCAAACA